This 253-nucleotide ribosomal RNA is filed under the name uncultured bacterium. RNAcentral describes it as "partial 16S ribosomal RNA". It matches the Rfam family "Bacterial small subunit ribosomal RNA", at positions 524 to 776 of the family's 1533-position model. The record is from RNAcentral.
UACGUAGGGUGCAAGCGUUGUCCGGAAUUAUUGGGCGUAAAGAGCUCGUAGGCGGUCUGUCGCGUCGGCUGUGAAAACCCGGGGCUCAACCCCGGGCCUGCAGUCGAUACGGGCAGACUAGAGUGCGGUAGGGGAGAGUGGAAUUCCCAGUGUAGAGGUGAAAUUCGUAGAUAUUGGGAAGAACACCGGUGGCGAAGGCGGCUCUCUGGACCGUAACUGACGCUGAGGAGCGAAAGCGUGGGGAGCAAACAGG